GCCCCGCUAGCUUAAUUGGUAGAGCAGGUCCCUCUUAAGGACAAGGUUGCAGGUUCGAGCCCUGCGCGGGGCA
This 73-nucleotide transfer RNA is filed under the name Candidatus Nealsonbacteria bacterium CG08_land_8_20_14_0_20_43_11. RNAcentral describes it as "tRNA-Lys". It matches the Rfam family "tRNA". Rfam says of the family: Transfer RNA (tRNA) molecules are approximately 80 nucleotides in length. Their secondary structure includes four short double-helical elements and three loops (D, anti-codon, and T loops). Lineage: Bacteria; Candidatus Nealsoniibacteriota. The record is from RNAcentral.